This 19-nucleotide microRNA is filed under the name Oryzias latipes (Japanese medaka). RNAcentral describes it as "ola-miR-214". Its record names the gene ola-miR-214. The record is from miRBase by way of RNAcentral. Lineage: Eukaryota; Metazoa; Chordata; Actinopteri; Beloniformes; Adrianichthyidae.
GUACAGCAGGCACAGACAG